GUGGGUUGAUAUCCCCGUAUCCCGUAUUUCUCCCCAAGUGAGUUGCCAGCAUAAUUGCAAGUCGAGUUGUUGGUGGGGUUGUCCCCCAAGCAUAGUGUUGUUGAAGAUUCAGUGUUCUCCAGCAGCAGUUUUCCCCAGCAUGGAUGCUUUCCUUGUGGAAGAUUCGGCAGUUGAUGGUUUGUCACCUUGGCGCCUCGCCACUUUCUCCAGUGG
This 213-nucleotide long non-coding RNA is filed under the name Lathyrus oleraceus (garden pea). RNAcentral describes it as "Pisum sativum (pea) long non-coding RNA (PSAT_LNC041504)". The record is from RNAcentral. Lineage: Eukaryota; Viridiplantae; Streptophyta; Magnoliopsida; Fabales; Fabaceae.